This 500-nucleotide ribosomal RNA is filed under the name uncultured Glomeromycotina. RNAcentral's name for it is "partial small subunit ribosomal RNA". It matches the Rfam family "Eukaryotic small subunit ribosomal RNA", at positions 591 to 1092 of the family's 1831-position model. Lineage: Eukaryota; Fungi; Glomeromycota. The record is from RNAcentral.
CCAAUAGCGUAUAUUAAAGUUGUUGCAGUUAAAAAGCUCGUAGUUGAAUUUCGGGGUCAGUAGGUUGGUCGUGCCACUGGUAUGUACUGGUCUCACUGAUUCCUCCUUCCUGAUGAGCUGUAAUGCCAUUAAUUUGGUGUUGCAGGGAAUCUGGACUGUUACUUUGAAAAAAUUAGAGUGUUUAAAGCAGGCUAACGCUUGAAUACAUUAGCAUGGAAUAAUGAAAUAGGACGUUCGAUCCUAUUUUGUUGGUUUCUAGGAUUGACGUAAUGAUUAAUAGGGAUAGUUGGGGGCAUUAGUAUUCAAUUGUCAGAGGUGAAAUUCUUGGAUUUAUUGAAGACUAACUACUGCGAAAGCAUUUGCCAAGGAUGUUUUCAUUAAUCAAGAACGAAAGUUAGGGGAUCGAAGACGAUCAGAUGCCGUCGUAGUCUUAACCAUAAACUAUGCCGACUAGGGAUCGGAUGAUGUUAAUUUUUUAAUGACUCAUUCGGCGCCUUACG